UAAGCGGAGGAAAAGAAACCAACAGGGAUUGCCCUAGUAACGGCGAGUGAAGCGGCAACAGCUCAAAUUUGAAAUCUGGCGUCUUUGGCGUCCGAGUUGUAAUUUGCAGAGGGCGCUUUGGCGUUGGCAGCGGUCCAAGUUCCUUGGAACAGGACGUCACAGAGGGUGAGAAUCCCGUACGUGGUCGCUGGCCUUCGCCGUGUAAAGCCCCUUCGACGAGUCGAGUUGUUUGGGAAUGCAGCUCUAAAUGGGAGGUAAAUUUCUUCUAAAGCUAAAUACUGGCCAGAGACCGAUAGCGCACAAGUAGAGUGAUCGAAAGAUGAAAAGCACUUUGGAAAGAGAGUCAAACAGCACGUGAAAUUGUUAAAAGGGAAGCGCUUGCAGCCAGACUUGCCUGUAGUUGCUCAUCCGGACUUUUGUCCGGUGCACUCUUCUAUAGGCAGGCCAGCAUCAGUUUGGGCGGUUGGAUAAAGGUCUCUGUCAUGUACCUCUCUUCGGGGAGAACUUAUAGGGGAGACGACAUGCAACCAGCCUGGACUGAGGUCCGCGCAUUUGCUAGGAUGCUGGCGUAAUGGCUGUAAGCGGCCCGUCUUGAAACACGGACCAAGGAGUCUAACAUCUAUGCGAGUGUUUGGGUGUCAAGCCCGAACGCGUAAUGAAAGUGAACGGAGGUGGGAACCUUUCGGGGUGCACCAUCGACCGAUCCUGAUGUCUUCGGAUGGAUUUGAGUAAGAGCAUAGCUGUUGGGACCCGAAAGAUGGUGAACUAUGCUUGAAUAGGGUGAAGCCAGAGGAAACUCUGGUGGANGCUCGCAGCGGUUCUGACGUGCAAAUCGAUCGUCAAAUUUGGGCAUAGGGGCGAAAGACUAAUCGAACUAUCUAGUAGCUGGUUCCU
RNAcentral lists this small RNA (894 nucleotides) under Neoascochyta desmazieri. RNAcentral describes it as "eukaryotic LSU rRNA". It matches the Rfam family "Eukaryotic large subunit ribosomal RNA", at positions 47 to 959 of the family's 3401-position model. Lineage: Eukaryota; Fungi; Ascomycota; Dothideomycetes; Pleosporales; Didymellaceae. The record is from RNAcentral.